UACGUAGGGUCCGAGCGUUGUCCGGAGUUACUGGGCGUAAAGCGCGCGUAGGUGGCUUCGUAAGUCCGUUGUGAAAGUCAAAGGCUCAACCUUUGAAAGCCGAUGGAUACUGCGGAGCUAGAGUACGGAAGAGGCGAGUGGAAUUCCUGGUGUAGCGGUGGAAUGCGCAGAUAUCAGGAGGAACACCAAUAGCGAAGGCAGCUCGCUGGGACGUUACUGACACUGAGGCGCGAAAGCGUGGGGAGCGAACAGG
Molecule: ribosomal RNA, 253 nt
Filed under: uncultured bacterium
Lineage: Bacteria
Description: partial 16S ribosomal RNA
Rfam family: Bacterial small subunit ribosomal RNA
Source: RNAcentral